RNAcentral lists this ribosomal RNA (253 nucleotides) under uncultured bacterium. Its description in RNAcentral is "partial 16S ribosomal RNA". It matches the Rfam family "Bacterial small subunit ribosomal RNA", at positions 524 to 776 of the family's 1533-position model. The record is from RNAcentral.
UACAGAGGGGGCAAGCGUUAUUCGGAAUUAUUGGGCGUAAAGGGCGCGUAGGCGGCUUUGCAAGUGACGGGUGAAAUCCCUCGGCUUAACCGAGGAACUGCCUGUCAAACUGCAUGGCUUGAGACCGGGAGAGGUGAGUGGAAUUCCCAGUGAAGCGGUGAAAUGCGUAGAUAUUGGGAGGAACACCAGUGGCGAAGGCGGCUCACUGGACCGGUACUGACGCUGAUGCGCGAAAGCGUGGGGAGCAAACAGG